ACUGGGUGUCCUGUGUGGAUUUUUAGGGAUGCUAGUAACAGAGUCUUCAGACCUACCUAAAUGAUCCCUCUAGCAAUGGGAUGAAUCAAGAGAGCUAGGUCUGAGAGCUGCAUGUGCCUUUGUAAAGGCAAUUGAAAUCAUAUUGUAGGCAGAGGUGUAUACCUGCCUGGAAGAAGGGCUGCAGAUGAAAAGGCAGAGGGGACGAUACCUGCCU
Molecule: non-coding RNA, 214 nt
Organism: Pelobates cultripes (western spadefoot toad)
Lineage: Eukaryota; Metazoa; Chordata; Amphibia; Anura; Pelobatidae
Source: the annotation of a GenBank genome assembly